RNAcentral lists this ribosomal RNA (885 nucleotides) under Triticum aestivum (bread wheat). RNAcentral's name for it is "partial small subunit ribosomal RNA". The record is from RNAcentral. Lineage: Eukaryota; Viridiplantae; Streptophyta; Magnoliopsida; Poales; Poaceae.
AUGGGUGAGCGGAAGGUGCUGAACAAGUACUACCCGCCGGACUUCGACCCGGCGAAGAUCCCGCGGCGGAAGCAGCCUAAGAACCAGCAGAUCAAGGUGCGCAUGAUGCAUCCCAUGAGCAUCCGGUGUGGCACCUGCGGCACCUACAUCUACAAGGGCACCAAAUUCAACUCGCGCAAGGAGGACUGCAUCGGCGAGACAUACUUGGGCAUACAAAUUUUUAGAUUUUACUUCAAGUGUACUAGGUGCUCAGCUGAGAUUACCUUCAAAACAGACCCCCAGAAUUCAGACUACACGGUGGAAUCUGGGGCUAGUCGUAAUUUUGAACCUUGGCGUGAAGAGGAUGAGGUUGUGGAUAAAGAGAAGAGGAAGCGAGAAGCAGAGGAGAUGGGCGAUGCAAUGAGAGCACUGGAGAACAGAGCAAUGGAUUCAAAGCAGGACAUGGACAUACUUGCCGCUUUAGAAGAGAUGCGAUCGAUGAAGUCUAGACAUGCUGGAGUCUCCGUUGACCAGAUGCUUGAAAUUUUGAAGCAUUCCGCUCAUCAAAAGGAGGAAAAAACAGUAGCAGAACUAGAUGAAGAAGACGAAGAACUCAUCAAAUCAAUCACUUUCAACUCGAAAGAUUAUGUUAAACGGAUCGAAGACGAUGACGAUGACGACGAUGAUGACAAUUUUGGUAUACCAGGACAGUCAAGUGUCACGUCAAAGCAGAUUAAUGGAUCAUCUGAAUCAAUGACGAAUCCUACAGAUGUCUUGACCAAAGCUAAUGGACCUGAGAGUGCCAAUAAAGAACCGAAGAAUUUGACUCUCAACAGCGCAUCCGCUGAGCCGCACAAGAGCGUCCAUGCUGCUAGUAGAGGGCUACUCGUGGAGAGGUCAUUGUGA